Molecule: ribosomal RNA, 393 nt
Filed under: uncultured bacterium
Lineage: Bacteria
Description: bacterial SSU rRNA
Rfam family: Bacterial small subunit ribosomal RNA
Source: RNAcentral
AUUGAACGCUGGCGGCAUGCCUUACACAUGCAAGUCGAGUGCGAAAGGGGGCAACCCCGAGUAGAGCGGCGGACGGGUGAGUAAACGCCAUCGGAACGUGCCCAGGUAAGUGGGGGACAACCUCGAGAAAUCGAGGCUAAUACCGCAUACGACCCACGGGUGAAAGCGGGGGACCGCAAGGCCUCGCGCUAUUGGAGCGGCCGAUGUCCGAUUAGCUAGUUGGCGGGGUAAGAGCCCACCAAGGCGACGAUCGGUAGCUGGUCUGAGAGGACGACCAGCCACACUGGGACUGAGACACGGCCCAGACUCCUACGGGAGGCAGCAGUGGGGAAUUUUGGACAAUGGGGGCAACCCUGAUCCAGCCAUGCCGCGUGCGGGAAGAAGGCCUCGGUU